This 253-nucleotide ribosomal RNA is filed under the name uncultured bacterium. RNAcentral describes it as "partial 16S ribosomal RNA". It matches the Rfam family "Bacterial small subunit ribosomal RNA", at positions 524 to 776 of the family's 1533-position model. The record is from RNAcentral.
UACGUAGGGGGCAAGCGUUGUCCGGAAUCAUUGGGCGUAAAGAGCGCGUAGGCGGCCCUGUAAGUCCGCUGUGAAAGUCAAGGGCUCAACCCUUGAAUGCCGGUGGAUACUGCAGGGCUAGAGUCCGGAAGAGGCGAGUGGAAUUCCUGGUGUAGCGGUGAAAUGCGCAGAUAUCAGGAGGAACACCGGUGGCGAAGGCGGGUCUCUGGGCCGUAACUGACGCUGAGGAGCGAAAGCGUGGGGAGCGAACAGG